GCGGCGCAUUAUCUAGUUGGUGAGGUAACGGCUCACCAAGGCAACGAUGCGUAGCCGACCUGAGAGGGUGAUCGGCCACACUGGGACUGAGACACGGCCCAGACUCCUACGGGAGGCAGCAGUAGGGAAUCUUCCGCAAUGGACGAAAGUCUGACGGAGCAACGCCGCGUGAGUGAUGAAGGUUUUCGGAUCGUAAAGCUCUGUUGUUAGGGAAGAACAAGUACCGUUCGAAUAGGGCGGUACCUUGACGGUACCCAAACCAGAAAGCCGGGGGGAACUACGUGCCAGCAGCCGCGGUAAUACGUAGGUGGCAAGCGUUGUCCGGAAUUAUUGGGCGUAAAGGGCUC
This 347-nucleotide ribosomal RNA is filed under the name bacterium A3-12-1. RNAcentral describes it as "bacterial SSU rRNA". It matches the Rfam family "Bacterial small subunit ribosomal RNA", at positions 233 to 570 of the family's 1533-position model. The record is from RNAcentral.